Molecule: ribosomal RNA, 380 nt
Filed under: uncultured eukaryote
Lineage: Eukaryota
Description: partial 18S ribosomal RNA
Rfam family: Eukaryotic small subunit ribosomal RNA
Source: RNAcentral
CAAUAGCGUAUAUUAAAGUUGUUGCAGUUAAAAAGCUCGUAGUUGGAUUUGUGGCUGUCACGGGCGGCCUAUCACUUAGUGUUAGUGCUUGCCUGUGUCGCCAUCCUUGGGUGGAGCCCGUGUGGCAUUAGGUUGUCAUGCGGGGGAUGCCCAUCGUUUACUGUGAGAAAAUUAGAGUGUUCAAAGCAGGCUUAUGCCAUUGAAUAUGUUAGCAUGGAAUAAUAAGAUAGGACCUCGGUACUAUUUUGUUGGUUUGCGCACUGAGGUAAUGAUUAAUAGGGACAGUUGGGGGUAUUCGUAUUUCAUUGUCAGAGGUGAAAUUCUUGGAUUUCUGAAAGACGAACUACUGCGAAAGCAUUUACCAAGGAUGUUUUCAUUAA